This is a long non-coding RNA of Fopius arisanus, 462 nucleotides long. RefSeq lists it as uncharacterized. Lineage: Eukaryota; Metazoa; Arthropoda; Insecta; Hymenoptera; Braconidae. The record is from RefSeq and is a predicted model, not a curated record. The transcript has 3 exons.
AAACCCCAAAACUGAGCCUCUACUUUCACCAAUCCUCUUUGUCGGGCACUCUCUCAUGGGAAGCUGACGAAGACGCGUGGAAGUGAUCAUUUUUGGAGGUCGAAAAAAAUCGAGGGGAUAAUGGGGGUGAAUUCUGGUAUAUUCUUUCAUGAAAUCUCUCGUGUGUCUUUUAUAUCGCGAUUUAAUUUAGGAGUAAUAAUAAUUUGAGAUGAAUUAAUGAAAAAUAAAAUUGGGUCUGUUGGGAGGAAAUUCGAAACUGGUGAACAUCGGGCCCUUCCAUUGGGGACUGAAUAAGAGAUUUAUCGGGUUUCCUGGACUCCAAAAAAUUGAAAUACAAGAGAAACAAGCGUCCAAAGUCUUUCCUCGAAAUUCUGCUAGUCGAAUAAGUGAUCAGAAUAAAUUUAUCUCCAAUUUAAUAGUCAUGAAUUAAUUACAAAUAUCACAUAAUGACAUCAACACUGA